UUUUUGGUGUUGAUGAGAAUCUUGAAGUUGGAGUGUCAAUCUUGCACUAUUUGGAGUUGAUCUAACACUGCAUUUUCUUAAAAAUGUUAAAUUUAACACUGGAUCAUGAUAGUGUUGUAGUUAAAAUGGAGUGUUGAAAAUGUUCAAAUCUUGUUAGUGUCACAAUAAAGACAUUCAACACUUCUACACCCCAUUUAACACCUAACAGUGUUCACGUGUCUUAAGCUCCGCCCACGGACAUUUCAUUUAGACUCCACCCCUCACUUCAUGUUGCUGAUGGAAGAAGUUGACAAUUAGGAAUCAUUUUGCAUCAGUAGGUAAGUAAACGUUUAAAUAGAUGAACUAAUGAAUUGUGUUGUACCUUGUUUACACAUAAAAAAACGUUACUUUUUGGUGUGAUAUUUAAUACUAAUAAACUGAGGCAGCUGUUUCCACCCAAAGCCUUUGCUAAUGUUACCUCGUGUUUUUGCUAAGUUAUAUUUUCUAUUUAGUGUUGCUGUGAGCUGAAUCGGCACUACCUGUGCAACAUUUGGCAAAGUAAGUGAACGCUACGUUACAUCUUCAUUAUACUGUCUUCAAUUUGAAUGAGCUAAUGGCUAACUAGCUAAUUGGCACGAGGAGCCCCCACACGUAGGCCUGCUGGCCCCCAGCAAAGGACUUGAUAUGCUGUACAAGAUACAAGAUAUCAAGAAAACCUUUCCUUGAGUCUUACAUGAAUGUGAGGUGGAUGGAGAUGUGUAGACUCCACUAUCCCUUCACCCCAGUUAUCGCCAGUGGUGGCGAGCCUCCACUCUUGCCGACUACAUCCCAUUCAUUAGGUUCGACAAUUUAUCCUUCAGCCCACAAGAGGAACCCAACAGAACCAAUGGAUCAGGAUGAAGCAUGACGGAAAGUCGGUGGUGUUUUGAGGGCCAAUCCGAAAGGUGAGGAAAUCUUCAAGGAGUGCACCCAGACUGAAACACUAACCGACGCAAAGUGUAAACAGAUGGUGAACAUCCUGGUUGCAGAUAUGAUGGAGCUGCAUGGGAGGGUUCUGCCAUCAUGUGUGAUGAGAAAUUACGCCCUGAGAAUUGUGACUUGUUUUCCAUACCUAGAAGAUCCAUUCUCCAAACCUGGAUAUCAUGCUUAGCUUAGCGGCAGUGGCUCAGGAGGUAGAGCAGGUCGUCCAGAAAUCGUAAGCUGUUUGGUGAGGAGUGCAGGGAGGCGCUAUCUACAAUAAGACAUUCAACUGAUGAAUCCGUGGUCAAAGAAGAUGAGAGCAACUUUCCAGUAUCGACAGAAUAUGAUCCAAGCACAAGAUGUAUCAUCGUCUGUUCUCAAUGUGUUCCCUCGCUUCCUUGAUGUUCCAGGAUUGAUUGACCAGGAUUUCUCAAUGAUGUUUGCUGAUGAAGUAUCUCAGAGGUUCCUGGCUAAGUGGUCAACUGUCUUCAAAGCAAAAGUCAUUGCAGACUUCAAGACUCUCCCGCAAAAGCAGAACAUUGAUGAGUUGCUGUCAGGAACUGAACCUCAACCUGAUGACAGCUGUGGGUGAGAAGUUAUGGUAUAGAUUACCAUGUUGGUGUGUUCAAAUGUACUGGAUGUAGCUUUGAUCUACCUGUAUUCAAGAAGAUCUGUGAUAUAAUAAAACACAAAGAAUGUGCUUUCAUAAUCGCCUGUAAUGUAGAAACAAUGUACUAUGAGGACCUGUUUAACGCGUACUGCAUAGAAGACCAAAUGCUUGAGUUUUCUGUCAUGUGUUUAAAUGAACUGACUCAUUUCAGACCAUUUGACAAGCAGCACUCUAAUGACAGUUGUCAAAAAGCAAACAUACUGUAGUGCCCUGCUGUUAUUUAAGCUGUCUGUUGGAAAUGAAAUGUUUUUUAAUAAAAUGUAUGAAGCAGUCAACUAGUCAUUUUUAAAAAAUGUUUAAAUUUUAUUUUGAAGUAGUAUAUUAACACUUUUAUAGUGUUAAUGUUGCAACUCCUUUUGAGAGUAAAAUGACACUAUAAGAGUCAAUAAAUGACUCUUAAGAGAAUUAAUUUGUGACACCUCACACUAGUGUUAAAAAAAUGCAACACCGGUUGGUGUCGAGGAGUGUUAAAUUUUAACUAUAUAAAUAGUUAAUAUUGACUCUACGAUGGUGUAAAAAUGGCUACACUUUCAAAAGUGUUAAAAUA
This is a long non-coding RNA of Dunckerocampus dactyliophorus (ringed pipefish), 2156 nucleotides long. RefSeq lists it as uncharacterized. The transcript has 8 exons. Lineage: Eukaryota; Metazoa; Chordata; Actinopteri; Syngnathiformes; Syngnathidae. The record is from RefSeq and is a predicted model, not a curated record.